Camelus dromedarius (Arabian camel) is the source of this 3078-nucleotide long non-coding RNA. RefSeq lists it as uncharacterized. NCBI's taxonomy places the organism in Eukaryota, Metazoa, Chordata, Mammalia, Artiodactyla, Camelidae. The record is from RefSeq and is a predicted model, not a curated record. The transcript is spliced from 3 exons.
AUUGCCUACCCUCAAGAAAAUCUGAAUGUGUAUAGGGAGGCGGCAGAGCAUUUGUAGGCACUGACUAAAAGAAAAGGGUAAAAAUGUCUCUCUCCGCUUUGGUUUGGAGUUUAUGCCCAUAUGCACAUGCGUGCACAUGCAAGAGUAACUUUUUAAAAUCUGUAACUUCUAUGAAGUUUUCUCAGUGCAAAAAUUGUACAUCAUUUUUUAUAGCAGUUUGAAAAAAAUAAGCAAGAAGGAAGAAAAAUAAGAAUUGCUCCUACUCCCAUCUUCCAUAGAUAACCACCAUUACAGCCCAGUUUUGAUCUCUGCCCUCCAGUUUCUCUCCUAUGCUUGCACAUUCCUCCUAUAACAAAAAUGGGUUGUGUCGUACAUGCUGUUUUACAACUGGCUUCUUUUAUUUAACAUAUAACUAUCUUUCCAUGUCAUUAAGGGUUCUUUUGUACCAGUGAUUUUCGAUAUACUUUGUGUCUGGAGCACACUUUCAAUAAUUUUCAACAGCAUAUUUGAAGAAAUUAAAAGACACUAGCCAUUAAGUUAAUAAUGUCUUUUUGCUGCCAAAACAUCCACCAUAACCUCACUGUUUGCUUGGUCCUUCUUUAGAGCCGUGUCGUUACUUGAGUAGAGCUGUUUACUGCUCCCACUGUGAACUCAUAUCCUCAAAAAGCAAAGUUGAGCACAUUCCUCUCACAGGAGCCAGCUGGACUGUUCUGAUCUGGGCCGACCCACUGGUCUGUGCUGGGCUCUGUGCAUCUGUGGUCAGCUGAUGGCUUCUGACUGAGGCUGGAUGAUCUAGGAUGGCCUCAUCCACAUGUCUGCUUCUAGGAAAUGACUUGAUUUAAUCAUCUCAUUGCUGAUCCCAAGAGAAGACCAAGUGCCUACAAGUGAAGUAAGUAAGCCCAUUCAUAGACUUGUGGUGAACUUGGUGCUCCUGGUCAUGUCAUAGCCAAGGAUGAGGGGGAUCUGUUUAGGGAAUAUUUCUUUAAAAAGCCCAGAAUAUCUAUAAUAAAUAGUGGUUCUUAUCCAUUCACAGGGCAUGGAUCCCUUUAAGAAUGUGAAAAGCCUGUGGAACAAUUCUUUGGAAAAAUGCACAUGUAUGUGCACACACACACACAAUAUUUGGCAUAUAACUUUUAGGGGAUUCCCAAGAAACCUGAAUCCAGUUGGCUCACCCCAAGAACCCUAAGUCUGUAGGUUCUAAAUGGGCCCCUGGAAACCAGAUUGCUUCAGCAUCUAGGCUUGACUGAUUAUUUUUUUGGUUUUGUAGAAUAUUUGGAGGCCUUGUGUCCAACAGAACGGAGCUAGGUGUUUCUGUUGGGUUGCACUAGAAUGUAAACUGUUAUAUGAAGGGCUAACCAAGAUAUUAGAAUAAAUGUGAAGCCAUUUGUUUAAACCCUGAUCUUUAUACAGCUGGUCACAGGUCUUUUGUCCUGUGAGAGGGCCGGUUAGUUGCCCUCUCAGUCCCACCUCCUGGAAAGGUAAGAGCUUGCAGACAUGCAAGGUAUGACAAUCUCUAGCUUCUAGGAGCCUCCCGCCUCCACCCCAUUUCUUUAGAACCAGGGAUCCUAGUCAGGGAAGGACUGAGACUUUUGUACCCAGCAUAUUGGAGAUAGUUAAUUUCAGGAGAAAAUUAUAUACAGCCACAUUUACUUUAUAUACUAGGAAAUUAUUUUCAACAAUAUCUUUUUGUCCAACCAUCUGCUUGAAUCAAGUUCCUGCCAGCCUCUGGGAGUAGUAAUUAUUCACUGCUAUGGAACAGAGCUCCAUGCUGGCUUUCCACUGAGGGAGUAGACCCUUUGGUUGUCUGUUGUCUGUUGUCAAGAAUUAUUUUGUCACUUACCAUUGUCAGCUGCUGAUUUUCCAACAGACACUAUCUCUGAGGCUAAAAAUAAAUCCUCUCAACACAAGCCUUCUCUUUAUGAAAGUGUGGGAGAUAGAAUAUACCAGUUAUGGAUAUAAUUUUGCAAUAUAGAGAACAUUUAUUAAUGAGGAAUGAAUCAAAAAAAAGGAAGGAGGACUGGGUUUUACAGAGGCAAGUGAACAAGGGAGUUAUUAGCAAACCUUCUGGGACUCAUGAAAAAGGAUAGAGGUGGGUCUUAUCUCAGAAUAUGGAAAGGCUGGGUCGUCCUUUCCAGUAUUUAGCCAUUUCUUGGAACACAAAAGACUGGGGGGAUUUCUUAACCAUCACUACUUUCGAGGAGCACAGAUGAAGCUGAACAUUGUCAAAGGCUGUAUCUUCUUCAACUUUUAAGAGCCUAGAACAAAUCUGAAAGAGAAAAUCAUUUUUGUAAGCUUUGUGUAUGAGAUAAAAACAGAAUUCUGGCAUCUUGUUUAGGACACUUAAGCUAUCUCCUCCUUUAAUUUGGGUAAAGAAAAUGGAAUGGCCUGCAUAACCAAAGCUUAACAAAGGGAAAGCAAUCAAAGCUGUUCCAGCUUUUCUGGAGGCCUAGAGAACCUAUGGAACAACUUUCAAUUUGGGCCAAUCAUGGAAGCUCUUUUUGUAACUUACAGAAAUUCAUUCAACAUGUAUUUUUUGCAUCCCUGUUAUGUGCUAGGCAUGGAUAUAGAUACUGGGGACAUAGCAGCCAACGCAUCAGUCCGAAAUUUCUCCCCUCAUAGGACUCCUUGACACUGCCGAGAGAGAAGUUUGGGCAGAGGGAAGAGUAAAAUGUGAAGGCUCGAGAUGAGAACUUGCCAAACGUUUUCAAAGAAUAACAAGGAGGGCAGAGUAGCGAGACUGCAGUGGGCAGGCAGACAAGUGGUGGCGGCCGAGGCUGGAGCGCUUCAUGGGGGUGGGGGAUGAUGGGACCUGACAGGCCAUUGUGAUGAUUUUGGCUUUUACUCAGGGUGAGAUGGGAAGCUACUGGAUGGUUUUGAGCAGAGGCAAUGACAUCAUCUAACUUACAUUUUUCAAAGACUCGCUCUAGCUGACAUUUUAAGAGGACCAAAGCAGGGAAAUAAUGAAAAGGCUGUUACACUAAUCCCGGGAAGACAGGGGCUUGGAUCAGGAUAGUCAUGGCAAAGUAUAUGGAUGUGUGAUAUGGUGCUCAGAUCCCCUUCAGGAAUGAAAAAUUUAUU